GACGAACGNNNGCGGCGUGCUUAACACAUGCAAGUCGAACGGUGAAGGGGCCUGCUUUUGUGGGUCCNGGAUGAGUGGCGAACGGGUGAGUAACACGUGAGUAACCUGCCCCCUUCUUCNGGAUAACCGCAUGAAAGUGUGGCUAAUACGGGAUAUUCUGUGCCUGCUGCAUGGUGGGUGUGGGAAAGAUUGCGCCCUUUUUGGGUGUUUUUGGUGGGGGAUGGGCUCGCGGCCUAUCAGCUUGUUGGUGGGGUGAUGGCCUACCAAGGCGGUGACGGGUAGCCGGCCUGAGAGGGUGGACGGUCACACUGGGACUGAGACACGGCCCAGACUCCUACGGGAGGCAGCAGUGGGGAAUAUUGCACAAUGGGCGCAAGCCUGAUGCAGCGACGCCGCGUGAGGGAUGGAGGCCUUCGGGUUGUGAACCUCUUUCGCCAGUGAAGCAGGCCUGCUCCUUGGUGGGNGGGUGACGGNAGC
RNAcentral lists this ribosomal RNA (477 nucleotides) under uncultured bacterium. Its description in RNAcentral is "bacterial SSU rRNA". It matches the Rfam family "Bacterial small subunit ribosomal RNA", at positions 28 to 479 of the family's 1533-position model. The record is from RNAcentral.